Molecule: unclassified non-coding RNA, 524 nt
Filed under: uncultured Glomeromycotina
Lineage: Eukaryota; Fungi; Glomeromycota
Description: SSU rRNA
Rfam family: Eukaryotic small subunit ribosomal RNA
Source: RNAcentral
CAGCCGCGUAAUUCCAGCUCCAAUAGCGUAUAUUAAAGUUGUUGCAGUUAAAAAGCUCGUAGUUGAAUUUCGGGAUUGACACAUCGGUCGUGCCUUAAGGGGUAUGAACUGGUGUAGUCAAUUUCUCACCUUCUGGAGAACCGCAAUGCCCUUAAUUGGGUGUCGCGGGGAACCAGGACCUUUACUUUGAAAAAAUUAGAGUGUUUAAAGCAGGCAUUUUGCUUGACUACAUUAGCAUGGAAUAAUAAAAUAGGACGGAUGAUUCUAUUUUGUUGGUUUCUAGGACCACCGUAAUGAUUAAUAGGGAUAGUUGGGGGCAUUAGUAUUCAAUUGUCAGAGGUGAAAUUCUUGGAUUUAUUGAAGACUAACUACUGCGAAAGCAUUUGCCAAGGAUGUUUUCAUUAAUCAAGAACGAAAGUUAGGGGAUCGAAGACGAUCAGAUACCGUCGUAGUCUUAACCAUAAACUAUGCCGACUAGGAAUCAGACGAUGUUAAUUUUUUAAUGACUCGUUUGGCACCUUACG